UACAGAGGGUGCGAGCGUUGUCCGGAAUCACUGGGCGUAAAGGGCGCGUAGGUGGCGACCCAAGUCUGUGGUGAAAGCUCGACGCUCAACGUCGAGUCGGCCAUAGAUACUGGGUUGCUCGAGCACUGUAGAGGCAGGUGGAAUUCCGGGUGUAGCGGUGGAAUGCGUAGAGAUCCGGAAGAACACCGGUGGCGAAGGCGGCCUGCUGGGCAGUGGCUGACGCUGAGGCGCGACAGCGUGGGGAGCAACAGG
RNAcentral lists this ribosomal RNA (252 nucleotides) under uncultured bacterium. Its description in RNAcentral is "partial 16S ribosomal RNA". It matches the Rfam family "Bacterial small subunit ribosomal RNA", at positions 524 to 775 of the family's 1533-position model. The record is from RNAcentral.